This 252-nucleotide ribosomal RNA is filed under the name uncultured Bacteroidales bacterium. RNAcentral describes it as "partial 16S ribosomal RNA". It matches the Rfam family "Bacterial small subunit ribosomal RNA", at positions 524 to 776 of the family's 1533-position model. Lineage: Bacteria; Pseudomonadati; Bacteroidota; Bacteroidia; Bacteroidales. The record is from RNAcentral.
UACGGAGGAUGCGAGCGAUAUCCGGAUUUAUUGGGUUUAAAGGGUGCGCAGGCGGUCUGUUAAGUCAGCGGUCAAAGCCCGGGGCUCAACCCCGGCCCGCCGUUGAAACUGGCGGGCUGGAGUUGGAGAGAAGUACGCGGAAUGCGCGGUGUAGCGGUGAAAUGCUUAGAUAUCGCGCAGAACCCCGAUUGCGAAGGCAGCAUACCGGUGCACAACUGACGCUCAGGCACGAAAGCGUGGGUAUCGAACAGG